GAGCUAACGCGUUAAGUCGACCGCCUGGGGAGUACGGCCGCAAGGUUAAAACUCAAAUGAAUUGACGGGGGCCCGCACAAGCGGUGGAGCAUGUGGUUUAAUUCGAUGCAACGCGAAGAACCUUACCUACUCUUGACAUCCAGAGAACUUUCCAGAGAUGGAUUGGUGCCUUCGGGAACUCUGAGACAGGUGCUGCAUGGCUGUCGUCAGCUCGUGUUGUGAAAUGUUGGGUUAAGUCCCGCAACGAGCGCAACCCUUAUCCUUUGUUGCCAGCGGUCCGGCCGGGAACUCAAAGGAGACUGCCAGUGAUAAACUGGAGGAAGGUGGGGAUGACGUCAAGUCAUCAUGGCCCUUACGAGUAGGGCUACACACGUGCUACAAUGGCGCAUACAAAGAGAAGCGACCUCGCGAGAGCAAGCGGACCUCAUAAAGUGCGUCGUAGUCCGGAUUGGAGUCUGCAACUCGACUCCAUGAAGUCGGAAUCGCUAGUAAUCGUAGAUCAGAAUGCUACGGUGAAUACGUUCCCGGGCCUUGUACAC
This 539-nucleotide ribosomal RNA is filed under the name Pantoea sp. L1.115. RNAcentral describes it as "bacterial SSU rRNA". It matches the Rfam family "Bacterial small subunit ribosomal RNA", at positions 848 to 1388 of the family's 1533-position model. Lineage: Bacteria; Pseudomonadati; Pseudomonadota; Gammaproteobacteria; Enterobacterales; Erwiniaceae. The record is from RNAcentral.